UCCUGUAGUUCAGGAAAUAUAUUUCAAAUUUUUGAAAUAUUUCCAUUUUACCAAACACAAAAAUAUAUUUUUGACCGUUGAAAGCAUUUCCGAAAAAAAAUUUUCGGAAACAUCUUUCCACCGUGAGGGGUGGAGAAAUGUUUCCGGAAAAAAUUUUUUGCCCGUUAGGACAGAAACUCAUCGCGCGUAGGGCUCCGCUUGUCUUCCUCUCCGACGCUUCAUCCUCCGCUGCUGCCUCACAGGAGGAAGAAAUUGAAGCGGCGUUCUCUUCCGUCUGACGAAGGUCUUCGUUCCUCUCUGAAAAUCCUCCAUCUCUUAUUUUCUAGUUCUCUUAUGCAGUCUGACCAAGCGGAACGAGAAGGACAGCAAGAAGAGGAGGCACAAAUCAGCCCGUCGAUCUUCCAGAGACGACGAUAAGUUUAUUUCGUAUUUUUAUUAAAUUCCCAACUUCUCUCGCUCCGUCUCUCUCUGAGUCCUCAUCAUUGAUUCCCCAGAGAAACUUCUUUGCCGACUUCUUUCAUUUUCCACUAUGUCAUCUUUGUGAGAAGAUUUCAUCCCCUCUACACGCGGUAAUCCUAUCCUUUGUUCCUUCUGUCCAGUAAGGUAACAGCUGAUUGGUCUCCUUAAAAAUCUGAACCCACACGUUUCUUGGCAUAAAACCCAAUUUUUCUGUUCAAGGGACAGAAAUCCUCUACAGAGUUGUAUAUUCUCUUGGAGUCUGUUGUUCCCAUUGUCUUUGGUGAAUCUGCCUCCAGACUGUUUGACGAUUCGGAAUUCCUGCUUCGCUGAUUUGGUGGGUCUUUUUUUAUGGCUUUGAAUCGUGGUGUUAAAUGUGGAAAUUUGAUGGAAUUCACUGGUUUUCUUGGAGUGGGUUUAGGGUUUGUGGUGACACUAUUUGCUUUUGAAUGUGUUAAUGAGAUUUUGGGAAUUUUUAGUUGACUUCUUUCAUUUGUGUUAGAUGUUCUUUUUGACAUAUUCUCUUGUUCAAUGGCAGUUGAAUUAGCUGGUGUUUGUUUGUUUUGUGUUUCUUGAGUUACAAUUACGAUCUUGGUUGAUUCUCUUUGUUGUUCGUGGACUGAACUGUUAUUCUGUUUUUUGUUGGAAUCAAGGGUUAAAACUUACCCUUGCCAUCGUUGAUCACAAGGUUUUGUGAAGUCAGUCUCUCGUUUGGCUUACCAAAACAAGUGGGGCUUUUCCUUUUCCUUUUUGGUGCUGCUUGUUUUAUUGGGUGGUGGUGGAUAACAUCUUUAUAUGUUCAUUUACUUAUAAGCACAACCUUAACCUUUGUAUUAUUUUGUAUUCAUCUGCAUAUCCUCCCAGCUUGCCCACCAUUUCAAACGUUUCUACGAUCACUGCAAAAUAACAGCAGCUGCAGACAGCAUGUUGAAGAUGAAAAGAGAUGGGAGUCGGUGAAUUGCACUGCUGCUGCUGAUGCUGCUAGCACGAGCUAUUUGGCGUGGAAUGGAAUCUUGUACCUUGGGCCUUUAUACAUUAUCAGUGUGGUAUCUAUGUUCGUAGUUAGCUUCCUGUAGAUAUAUAUGUAUUCUCUGUUUCUGC
This is a long non-coding RNA of Nymphaea colorata (pocket water lily), 1557 nucleotides long. RefSeq lists it as uncharacterized. NCBI's taxonomy places the organism in Eukaryota, Viridiplantae, Streptophyta, Magnoliopsida, Nymphaeales, Nymphaeaceae. The record is from RefSeq and is a predicted model, not a curated record. The transcript has 2 exons.